This is a non-coding RNA of Rattus norvegicus (Norway rat), 3447 nucleotides long. NCBI's taxonomy places the organism in Eukaryota, Metazoa, Chordata, Mammalia, Rodentia, Muridae. The record is from RefSeq and is a predicted model, not a curated record.
AGUUGAUCCCUAUGUUCCCAAGGAAAAGGAGUUUUUAUUGCAAAAAAAUAGGAUUAUAGACCAUUGAUUUUGUGAAAUACAUGGAUAUGUAAAUGGAAACAAGGUCGGCUUUCAAGGACUGCACAGUAAGCAAAUAUUUCCAGGUUUUAUACACUCAGAGGAAUAGAAGAAAUAUAUUGGCCUCCAGAAAAUGGGAAAAAGCUUAGAAAUCGAAAUACAUGUCACAUGCAUUGUCUCGAGUAGUAGAUUUACUUUUAAGAAAAAUCUCCCUCCUCCUUGGUCCCUAGAGAUUUGGGUGCUAAGAAAAAUCUGUUCUCCAAUUCAGGGUUGUAAGAAACCCUCCACAGCAAAAGCAUUGUUGACUUCUAAUGAAGCAGAGAGACAUAUCUAGCUUUGAAAUAGAGGUUGCCAAAUGGUAUUCCCAGUGACACAUGGGAGACUGGAGGAAAGGGUCCCCACAGAAAUUCAUCAGUGUGGGGAGAGCUGGUUAGUAGGUAGGCCAUAGAAUUUUCCAGUGACAUCACCAGUAAGCCGUUCACUGGACACUCUAUUGUAUCUAAGAGAUCCCUAGAAUCUUCUGUGAUGUCACCAGUGUUGUGGUGACACCAACUGCCUUUGGGAUAUUCCUUCAGUUCCCUUUGGGUUCACAAGCAGGCAUGUUUCGCCAGCUGCUCAGGCUAUUUCGGAAGGAAAGUGUUGAUCAAGGAGAGACCGCACCAGGUCAGAGGGAAGCUGACCCCCUCUCUAGUGAAACAGGAAGGAGGAAAUCAUUCUUGGGAAGGCUUGGUGAGUCUUGGGCAGAGUUGGGGAACAUCCUCAAGGAGGUAGGUUUGAGAUGUGCCUUCUAAGACUAGGCCUUACAAGCAGGAGCCUUGGGAUUUUUCAAAGGCAAACCAAGAGUCAGGAGUUCCUGAUCUUUAAUUUGAGAGAAAGCCAUAAAGUUGUAAGACUUCAGUGUCUUUUCUUGAAGCUUUUUAACUAUGAGUGUCAAUGAUUGGCAGGAGGAGGCACUGUGAGAUUAACAAUGUAACCAUCCAUGUUUGGGAGUUGAAGCACUUCAUCCUCUAGAUUACUGUACGUUACAUAAGUCUUGAUGGCGAGAACAAGGAAGGAUGCACCCCUAGUCAUGAAUUGAGUUCUCAGACACUUUGGGCUGGACCACACUUGGUUAGAGCUUGAUGGUGCUAAACAUUAUGAAGUCAUUAUGAACUCCAGGAUUAUCUGCACCACAUCUGAUAUAACAAUGUCGCAGAUGUUUAUGUCUCAGUCAUAUUAUAACUUUCAGUGCCACGGGUUGUGUAAUAGUGAGUGUGGCACGUGUAUGGCAUUAGAGGUUGGGAACAGGGACAUAGCUUAAGAAUCAACCUUUAAGAAAGCUUUUCUGCUCUUUCAGGGAUUCACCCAGUCUCUACCAUUUCCCCUUCCUCAACCUCCUUUUCGGAUUCAGAAUGAUCUAUUCUGCCCAUUGGUUCAAAUAUGCAAAUUCACUUGGGUUUAUCUGUCUACAGGUUUUGGUAGGAAGGCAUCAUCCCAAAAUGUCAUCAGUCAGCAAGAGGAGUGUCUAAAGGAACUGGAGGAACUCAAAUUUGAAAUCCAGAAGUGUCAAUUCGAGAGGGAUGAACUUUAUCAAAUCCUGGAUCUUUAUAUCUAUGAUCAGUGGGACCACAGGCUGCAUGUCGAAUUGCCAGUCCUUCAAUCUGAACAUGAGACGAGAAUGAUGGCUAUGCAAAUGAUGACCAACUCAAUAAGUGAUGCCAUGGAGAGGUACAAGAGGCUCAUACAAGUGAACAGUUCCUACCAGUGAGUCGCUGACAGAGAUGAGAACCCAGCACUAGGCAGGGAAUGCUUCUGUCCUGUAUGACUUUAACAAAAGUCAGGGCUCUGGUUCCAUGGUGUUUGACUCUUCACAAGAAGGCUGCCUCCUGGCAAGGGUCUUAGAUUUGUAGCUCUUGGACUCAGUUGUCCUACAUGUGAAGGGUGUAGAAGACCCUCCAAUUGUUAUUUUCCCCGUUAAAGUUCCUCUAGAUUGAAAAGGUUUGCACCAUGAUGGGAAUAUCAAUCAACUCUGAAUCUCUAGGACUCUGACAGGAGAUUUAAAGAUCUGUGAUCCAUGAGAAACACAUGGAAAGAGUCUAUAUCUAUUGGGUCUUCAACUACCACUCAGAGAGGCUUUCCCCACAACGUGAAGAUGGUUUCACCAUACCAUGGACAUACGAGCUCCCUUAUGGACCAUCUCUUCUUCCUUGAUUUAUAUAAACCGUCUUAGUGUCAGGAUUUUCAGAAGUACUUUGAUUCAUGUGGAAUGUGGAUUCUGGAUUUGACCUCCUCUAAUUGGUGCUAACUUGCAUAGUGUGGCUCUAUUCUGGGGAUUUCUGAGGAUGAGGACCCUUGAAGGGAUGAUUGGACUUGUAGGAGUGACAGGCAAAUAGAAGCUGGCUGGGAUUUACCAUUUUUUGUUUGUGGUUCAGCAUCAGGCACUCCCAGCUCCUGCGUGAACAAGCUCAAUUGAAGAACAAUAUACAGAUUUUGCUAAAUGAGAAGAGAGAACUGCUGGUGGAGCAGACUGAACUGCCAGCAUUCUCUGUGGAGACAAAAAGGCUCUGUGAAGAGGCCGGAAUGAACAUCUGUGACCCCAGUGCCACGCAACAGCAGGUCUGAAAUUCUCCAGCAGAAACUCGAACAUGACACAGACCAGGAUAAGAUCUCCCUUGGAGAGAAGAGCUACAGGAGGAGAACUAAGUGUGCACAGCAAAUACACCACUAUUGUGUCUCAUCUGUACUGUCCAUAGCAAUUGUGGACUGCAUUUUCCUCCUUUAGUUUAACUUCUUUGGAUUGAAUAGGCCGUACUUUCACCUCAGCCUCUCCAACAAAUGUGCACUUUUUGAGGGACUCAGAGAAGUGCUGAUGCACAUCAAUCAAGAGCUGCUGGUCAUCCAGAAAGACUGUGCAUGUGUAAAUUUGUACUUGUCCUGAUGGGUCAUCCAGAAGAGUUUCAUGGAGAUCAGUUCACAACAUUGGAAAGACUUUGUGACAAAGUCUGUAAUAUCAUUUAUACUCAGUAUUGGUAGGCUUUUUCCUUAAUACCCCCACUCCAACAAAACAGACCUACUUCCACUCCUCUCGAAAAGAUUGUUACCAUCACUAACUGCUUGUCUACUAUGUCUCCAAGGCAAGCCACAGGCUAUAUGUCUAUUCUGCAAAAGGAGCAGCAAAAGAAUGCUUAGCGCAAUUCUUCUAUUUAAAGUUUGGUUAAUUUUUAAUUGUUUUGGUUAUUUGGUUUUCCUUCUAUUCAUUUGAAGAUUUAUUAUUUAUCUGUUGUUGUUGUUUUCUUCAUUUGCUUUUCUAUUUUGAUAAGGAUAUAGACUGUAUAUAUUGACUACCUGCAUCUGGUUACUAUCAAGUAAAUUGGAUGUAUUCUGGUCAAUAAAGGAGUAAUCUUAAACUCU